AACGAACGCUGGCGGCAUGCCUAACACAUGCAAGUCGAACGAAGGCUUCGGCCUUAGUGGCGCACGGGUGAGUAACGCGUAGGAAACUGCCUAUUGGUGGGGAAUAACGACGGGAAACUGUCGCUAAUACCGCAUAAGCCCUUCGGGGGAAAGAUUUAUCGCCGAUAGAUGUGCCCGCGUCCGAUUAGCUAGUUGGUGAGGUAAUGGCUCACCAAGGCGACGAUCGGUAGCUGGUCUGAGAGGAUGAUCAGCCACACUGGGACUGAGACACGGCCCAGACUCCUACGGGAGGCAGCAGUGGGGAAUAUUGGACAAUGGGCGAAAGCCUGAUCCAGCAAUGCCGCGUGAGUGAUGAAGGCCUUAGGGUUGUAAAGCUCUUUCGGGUGGGACGAUGAUGACGGUACCACCAGAAGAGGCCCCGGCUAACUUCGUGCCAGCAGCCGCCGUAA
RNAcentral lists this ribosomal RNA (449 nucleotides) under uncultured bacterium. Its description in RNAcentral is "partial 16S ribosomal RNA". It matches the Rfam family "Bacterial small subunit ribosomal RNA", at positions 29 to 523 of the family's 1533-position model. The record is from RNAcentral.